This is a long non-coding RNA of Amphiprion ocellaris (clown anemonefish), 3429 nucleotides long. The record is from Ensembl. NCBI's taxonomy places the organism in Eukaryota, Metazoa, Chordata, Actinopteri, Pomacentridae.
AACGCAACUUACAUCGCAAUUUUUUAGAAAAGCUGCCCCGAAUUCAGGCAUUUUCGGCCGCAACAAUCUCGAAAAACGCCCACGAAAUCCUGGAAGGAUUGUUUAUGGGUGCAGCAGCAGAACAUUUUCCACAGACAGUUUUCCUGCUCGUUGGCUUGUUUUAACCAGUUUUCUGCCUUCGGCUGAUUCUAACAGCAGACACAAAGGACUCUGAUAGUUAGGUGUCUCAUGUUCACAGUGAGGAUCUUCUGAGUGAAGCCACCAGAAGGAAAACCUCAUCUGGAUGUGAAGAAGGAGACUGAAUGGACGACAUCCUCAAGUGAAAGUAGCAGUUCCUCCUGAAGGUCAGUGAUUGCAGCAUCUGAGGGCCUCUUCAAAAGAAGACGUAGUUGAUGAAGGCGUUCUGGAGCAGGACCAGAAAGACCACGACCAAGCAGCCUUGAGAUCUUAGGCAGCGUCUCCCUCAGACCAAAGAACUACAGACUCUUCACAACCUGCUCAAACUCUUGGUACAGGACCUCACCACACGGGUCAAGAAGGUUUCCAUCUCAUUUCUACUCUGAAGCUCACCUUCUCCUGCUCAAACUGCUGACAAAUGUUUCUGCUGCUCUAAAGUCUGGUCUCCAGAACUUCCUAAAAACUCUCAAAGUCUCUGCUGCUGCAGGUUGCUUUGUAGAACUGUUGCAGAAAACCUCACUAAACCACAUGGAGGGGCCUCAAGAUAGUCGUCCAAAUGAAACCAUACAAAAACCAAACUAGCACAACCCAAACGCUAAAGUCUCCUGCAGCCUACCAGAGAAGUUCUGAGAACAGAGAAUCAGGACAGAAACUCUUACCUUCUGGACAACCAAUGCUGGUUCUCAAACAAGAAUACAGAAUGUGUCUGACCAAAAACCUCUGAAGACUCACUACAGCCAAGAUAAAGACACAACUCACCUGCACCAAAUCCACUAAUCACUGCACACAUUAUCACCAUGUGCUAACUGCGGCUAAAGAACCACCUUUACCAAGACAACUAUCCAGUACAAAGCCCUAAAACACACCAAAAAACACAUUAAAGACGAUUUUACUGCUGGAAGCUGCAAGCCAACGCCUAAAGAACAAACUAAGCAACGGAGCCAAACCCAGCUCAGUGGUGAAGAGAAACAGAGGAAAUGUUUGUCUGCAGCUAAACAAAGCAGGAAGACACUGAGCUGCUCAGGUGUUCCUGAUAAUACCAAUCAGCCACCUGGACAGCCAAUAGGAACACAGCUUCCUGGAAGUCCAGAGGGCUGGCUUAGUCAAGGAAAUUUAGUUUAAAGUUGAAGCAGAAAGUUAACAAAAAGUUGAAAACCACCUUCUGAUACCUGAAAUCUCUGAGUUUUCACACAAAGAACGCCUGAACAUGUCAAACUGGUUCCAUAGUAGAACCAUCAUUGUAAAAACGUCAUAGUAUGGUGUGUUGCUCAAAAAACAUUACGACCUGGCUGUCUUGGGUCGCUGAGGAGCAACACAAAAACAGGACAAAUGCUGGUUUCCAGGGGGUUAGGAGGAUAUUUAUUUGAAAGAGGAAGUUUACAACAACACGUGUGCAGAAAAUGUCAUCCAAAUUGUGACAAAAACGUCAUAGUUUAGUAUGUUGUCCAAAAUGUAACAAAAAUGUCAUAGUUUAGUAUGUCGUCCAAAAUGUAACAAAAUGUCAUAGUUUAGUAUGUGCUUCAAAAUAUGACAAAAACGUCAUAGUUUAGUAUGUGGUCCAAAAUGUGACAAAAAUGUCAUAGUUUAGUAUGUGGUCCAAAAUGUGACAAAAACUUCGUAAUUUAGUAUGUUGUGCAAAAUGUGACAAAAACGUCAUAGUUUAGUAUGUUGUCGAAGAUGUAAUAGUUUAGUAUGUCGUCCAAAAUGUGACAAAAACGUCAUAGUUUAGUAUGUGGUCCGAAAUGUGACAAAAACGUCAUAGUAUAGUAUGUGGUCCAAAAGGGGAAAAAUGUCAUAGUUUAGUAUGUCGUCCAAAAUGUCGCUAAAACAUCAUAGUUUAGUAUGUCAUCCAAAAUAUAGCAAAUGGGUGCCCAGGUAGCUCAGCUGGUUGAUAGGGUGACUCGUAAACAGGACUCUGUCAGACAUAGGUUCGAUUCCAGCUCAUAGCCCUUUACUGCAGGUCUUCCUCUUAGCUUACGUAUUGGUGAAAGAGUCCAAAAAAUAACUUUUAAAAAAACAUCAUUGGCUGUCUUCUUAAAUGUGGAAAAAAGUCAUAGUAUGUAGUCCAAAAUGUGGACAAAACGUCAGUUUAGUAUGUCGUCCAAAUUGUAUUAAAAAAACGUAAUAGUUUCUAUACUAUUCUAAACUAUGACAUUUCAGUCAACUGAGCAGCCUUGGCGGAGUACUGCACUCUCUGAGUGCUUUUCUAAUUUGUUUGUGUGUUUAUUUGUGGAAGAAUAUAGAAACACAUGAAAACAUUUUACAGCUUUUUUUUUUUAUCUUUCUUAAAUGGUUAGCUUAGCUUAGUUUAGCUUAAAUUAGCAUAAAGACUGGAGCUAUCGUCACUAUCUAAAGAAAAACAGUUUCAUUUAUAGAGAGGCAGCUUUAUACAGAUUUAUUAGUAAUAUGUGAAAUAUAAAUAAUGCUUUAGAGAUGCUUGAGGGCAGAUUUUUGUCCUCUUCUCAAAAGAACCAGGCUAGCUUUUAGUACCCUAUCAUUAGCAUUAGCAAAUGGCUACUAAAAGUGACGGCCAAACAGAUGACUACCAUUAUCAUUGUUAGGUUGUGGUCGUAGCGGUAUUAUUUCACCAGCACAGCCACCAUGAAGUUUUGAUUUUAUUGUAUUUUCUAGCAUGUAUUUUUGGCACUGUUCUUUUUUUCUAUCGGUCUUCAGAGAUGAAAGAUUAUUUAUCACAUCUUGGUUCAUUCAACAGAAGUGAAAUAAAUGGUAACUCUAGCGAAAUCUAAGAGAAAUCCAAGAGAAAAACACGCCUGUUUUCAAAUCCAAAGUCGUAGUUAGUCUGAGGGGCUUUCAAAGACUGAAGGCCAGUGUAUUAAAAAUCAAUCCGGUGUAUCUAUGGAUGUACAGAAACAUAUCACAGUAGUACUUCAGUACUGAGAAAAAGCUGUUUUUAUGACCUAAGGAGAAACUUUAUUGCAAGUGGGUGUUUGCAGUUCAUACACGACGGACAACACAGAUAUUAUCACUGGUGGAUAAUAAAAUAAUAAAAUCUAAAAUAUGUGUAUCAUGUCUGUGUGCUCAGAUUUAACAGUUAUGACUCUAACUCUGGCAAUCCUAGGCUUUAAGGACUUCUUCAUACCUGUUGUGUGCUUCUGCUCAAUACUGACCAAACUACUGCAAUAACCAGCAGUAGAGGAAGUAUUCAGGUCCUUUACUAAUUUAAAGGUAUUCAUACCACACCCAAAAAAUACUCUGUUACAGGUUAAAGUCCUGAACUGAAGCAUUCAAAUA